This 450-nucleotide ribosomal RNA is filed under the name uncultured bacterium. RNAcentral's name for it is "partial 16S ribosomal RNA". It matches the Rfam family "Bacterial small subunit ribosomal RNA", at positions 338 to 795 of the family's 1533-position model. The record is from RNAcentral.
CCUACGGGUGGCUGCAGUAAGGAAUAUUGGUCAAUGGAGGAAACUCUGAACCAGCCAUCCCGCGUGAAGGAUGAAGGGGCUCUGCCUUGUAAACUUCUUUUGUCUGGGGCGAAAAAGCUCGAUUUAUCGAGAACUGACGGUACCAGAAGACUAAGCACCGGCUAACUCCGUGCCAGCAGCCGCGGUAAUACUGAGGGUGCAGGCGUUAUCGGGAAUAACUGGGUUGAAGGGGGCUUAGGACGGCUGUGGUGAAAGGCUGUGGCUUAACCAUGGAAUUGCCAUUGAUACUGCAGAGCUUGAAUGAGGUUGAGGUUGGCGGAAUGUGACAUGUAGCGGUGAAAUGCUUAGAGAGGUCAUGGAACACCGAUUGCGAAGGCAGCUGACUGGACCUAUAUUGACGCUGAGGCACGAAAGCGUGGGGAGCGAACAGGAUUAGAUACCCGUGUAGUC